GAAAAAUGUAAUAUAUUACUUGGUUAUGCGUGAGUAUCAUCGUUACAAAAUGAUUAGGACCCUCUUUAUAUAGUAGAUGAAUCCUAUUUAUGGUAUAAUUCUAAUUACAAAAGCAAAUCCCAAGAUAGGCUAAAUAAACGGCCCUAACUUGAUACGUGCCGAGAUUUUCGCCAUGAUCCUUGCCCGAUCACGGAUAUCUCAGCUUUCUCUUCCUUCGAUCUUGCUCAAUCUUUUUCUUGCUUCGGUCUCGAUCACGGCUGAUCUCGAUCUUGAUCGGCCAUUGAUCCACGAGCUUACCAAUCCAUCUCCGCACCAUGGUCCGAAAUAACCGAGGCCGAGCCUUGAUCUGCCACCUCGAUUUUGGUAUAACUAGUUAUACAAAACUAGGCAAGACCGAUGUCCGUAUACAAACAUGAAAUAGGUUUCGUACUAUUAUAAAUAGGGGUGUUGAUAACUUAUUUUAUGUGUGGAGAUUUAUGAAAACUGUAGAGAGCUUUUAUCCGCUUUUAAUUGCUUAGGAUUUGGAUUUUUCUUUGCAUGGCUGAUCAACAAUAAUCAAGCAAUUAUAAACCCACCUAGCUGUUCUUCGAUACCAUCAGUUGCAUUCAGUAUAAUUAUACAGCGUACUUCCUUGGUAAUAGCAUGAAAAAAUAGGAUGUUUUAUAGUAGCAUAAUAAGAAAACAAAGAGAAUAUGAAUCUCUUACCUAAUCAUGAUACCUAUUUUAUGCCAAACUUAACUUCAAGUACACCACAGAUUUUCCCGAGUAUUGACUAAUUUUGGUAGAGAAAAGAAUCAAAUAUUGGAAUUCAAUACAAAAAUACUAACUUGAAUUUCUCCGUAUCUAAUUUUGCCAUAAACAAGACCUCUCGUAACGAUGAAGCAUGCAUUGAAAUUUAAAUUUAAACAUUCAGAAGAUAACGAAGCUAAACACAGAUAUUCCCUAUAGCUUAAUAAGAAUUUAUGACUCUAUUAAUUUUCCCUUGUGCUUAAUUAGCAUAAUUAACAAAUGCACACCAAUUUUUUUUGUGGUUGGUUAAUAUUUAAUAGCAAAUAAUGACACAAUGUUAGAAGAAAAGUAGUGAUUUCUAGAUCAAUAUUGGUAAAGAUAAUAUAAUCACAAUUUAUUACCCGCUGAAUCCUACGCAAGAACGAAAAUUCACAAAUUUCUUCAACGUCUAGGGUUUUAGGAGUCAACAUGAGUCUCUUUCAACAACUUAUUACAUCUCACAUUUCCGUACGUUAAAAGUUUCGCCUUCAGUUAAUUGACAUAUACUCGGGGAUGAGAUUAUCUUGAGGUUAAUGUAUUUACACUAUUUAUAACAAGCAAUAAAUAAGUAUCAUGAAGGAUAAAGGGUACACGAAUUAAAGAAAACGAGUUUCGUUGAAAGUUGCCGAUUUAGGAUAAAAUACGGGUCGAGCGAUAAUACCCGAUAUUUAUGUACUAGUAUCAUACAAGGUACCAUAUGACCUUGGUAAUAAGAUAUAUAAAGUAUAUUAAAAAUGAGUAGUAUUUUAAGUAGUUGAGAUAAUUCUUAAUUAUAUGAAUAAUUGGUUAAUUAUCAGGUAAUGGAAUAAUACCUAGUUAAUUAUUAAAUCAGGAGGAUAAGACGUGGCAACAAAGGGAGCAACAAAACCAAUGACUAACUAGUCACAUAAGAUUAGUGGCCAUCUAAUAUAACGUGUAAGACCUUUAGACACUCAAAAUGUAUAUAAAAUAUUUGGUCUAUAUUAAAGUUGGUCUCUUUUAAAAAGCUUGGAUCAUUUCUGACAGAGAUUAACGAGUGGUACUAAAAUUUUUUCUUCCUAAUUCAAAAUCUUCAAGCACAAACGUUAAAUUUCAAGCCUCCAACGAAAUUCUUGCAAACAGUUAUAACGAGAAUUGUUAGAAUCUUAGCAACGUAAAAUUUUGCGGUUCUAAAGGAGUAUGGUGCAAUCUAUUCCAAGAAUAUUAUACGGAUUUUUCCUACUCCGGGUAUAUUAAGGUCAUCCCUUCUUUUUUUUUAGCAUGGUCCAAGUUAUACAGAAGAAACGAGCAAAUGCGCAGUUUUCUAUAGACGACUCUAUUCAUAGAAAUACUCGGGAUAUCUGUGUUUUUUAUUCCCCAUGUGACAUAUUAUUAUAUCUUCUAUUCAUGGGUCUCAGAAUAAUACACAGUUGAAAAAGUUUAUCCGGAAGGAAUAUUGAGAUUAUUACAUAUUUUUCAUGCAUUUCAUUCAUUUAUACAUGUACAAUGACCCUUGACCAGAUGACGUUAUGUGUAUGUAUAUAUAUAUAUAUAUAUAUAUGUAUGUAUGUAUAUAUGUAUGUAUGUAUGUAUGUAUGUAUGUAUGUAUGUAUGUAUGUAUGUAUGUAUGUAUGUAUGUAUGUAUGUAUGUAUGUAUGUAUGUAUGUAUAUGGGAUAUGAAAAAAAGGUUACGGCAUUAUAUGCGCACCACCACCGGAUCAGUUGGUACAUAUUGAUGAUGUUGCCCACAGUGGCCGAGAUGAUAUGAUGCGAUGCCCUCAGUGGCUUGAUGAUGUUUUGUACACCUAUACCCAUACAUGAAAUGACAUUUAUAUACACGUGCAUGACAUUAUAAAUAUUUCAGAAUUUACAAAGUUAUUCAGAUUUACAGAUGGAUUCUUUAUUCCAUGUUUCAUCUAUGUCCUUUACGUACAGAUUUUCAUGCCUUACAUACCCAAUACAUUUUUUGUACUGACGUCCUAUUUCACGAGACCUGCAUUUCAUGCCCGCAGGUGCAGGUAGGCAAGCUGACAGUCCCCCUUUAUUAGGAUCCUUGAUCAGUNNNNNNNNNNNNNNNNNNNNNNNNNNNNNNNNNNNNNNNNNNNNNNNNNNNNNNNNNNNNNNNNNNNNNNNNNNNNNNNNNNNNNNNNNNNNNNNNNNNNNNNNNNNNNNNNNNNNNNNNNNNNNNNNNNNNNNNNNNNNNNNNNNGGGCACCCGUCACGGCCCAUCAGUUUGGGUCGUGACAAAAGUGGUAUUAGAGCAGUUAUUGUCACACCUCCUUUUUCUUCCCCCCGGAAGGGUAUUAAGGGAGUUUUUCCAAUUUAAGUGACAACUGAAACAGGAUUAUUUAUUUAAAAUUCAGAGUCGCCACUUGGGAUAAUUUAUGAUGUCCCAAGUCACCGGUUUAAAAUCCCGAAUUGAGGAAAUUGACUCUAUUUUAUAGUCUGCGAACACAGAAAUCCGGGUAAGGAAUUUUGUUAACUCGGAAGAAGGUGUUAGGCAUUUUCGAGUUCCGUGGUUCUAGCACAGUCACUCAACUAUUAUUAUUGUCCUAAUUAUCUGAUUUUAAAACACUUUUAAACCUAUGUGCAUUUUUUAACUUUAAAAAAACCGCUUUUAUUUAUUUAACGAAUUAUUUGAAGGUUAUAUAAAAUACAUCGCAAGCCACGCUAUAUGAAAUGCACCCAUGAUUCACGACACGUCCUAUUUAACCUUGUAAGAAAUUAGAACCGGGUCACAUGAAAUGUACACCCGGAUUUUAGUAAUAGCCAUGAUAAUUAUAAUUAACGGGCCUAAAGCAAACUACGAAGUUCAUUUUUAAUAUCUAAGUUAUAACAUUUGCGAGGGCCAUAAGUGAUUUAAUUAAAAUGGCACACCUCAAUCCUUUUUUAAAAGAAUUACAUCUAAUUAACGCGGGCUGGAUACUUUUAUCUAUAAUUGAUUUGAACUAGAAAUAAAAACGACUGUUAGUGGUAAAAGGGGUUGGGGUACAUGUAUUGGGUUUUUAAUUUAUUUGGGGGAAUCUGGACCAACAACAAGCCCCAUUUAAUAUUUGAUCAUAAAGAACAAGAUAUAGGGGCUGCCUGGGCUCGAAGCUGAACCCACAAGGCAUGGACAUUCGAAGACCUCAUCAGGUCUAAAGAGAUCGAGGCUAUUUUACUUGGGCCGAUGCCCAGCACAACAGUUUCACAAAAAAAACUUCAAAUUACAAAUCUUUUUCUAAUUAACUUAACAUAGAAAUACUAUUGGGCAUCAAAUUAAAUCCAAAACAAAAUUGAGGCCAAAUCUGACCGCGUCUGGGUCUUGAGACAAACAGGCCAACUUAUAAGGCCAAGAAUCAAGCCCUAGUUCAACUGAAAAACUUUAAACAUGCUAGGCCCUUCUUGAUAUUCAAGCCACUCUAGACAUACAAAUCACAAUAAAAACAUGAAUACUAAGAAUUGAAAAAUAAUAUGCUGAAUCGACUAUAUUAUCUACAUGAGACUCAAAGCACAGAUGUCAACUGUCUAAUUAAUCAUAAAACAUGAUGUUCAAGAAAGAAAGUUCAGUUGGCCUUGACUUAAGAUCCAAGAUAAACUGGAAUAAUGAUCUAAGAUUGCUAACAUUAUGAACUGUCAUAUAGUUAGAACAAUUCUCUCAGAAUCAAAACAAAUUUUAAUAACAACCAUAUAAGCUAUCAUGGCUAAAUCAAGACAAACAGUACAUGAUACGCAUUAACCUAAACAUCAACUUUGCAUUGAAUCCUUGAGAAGAUGAAACUCAUACAUACAAUGUAACUCACCAGAACAUCAGCAUACAGUAUAAGCCUUAUAACAUGCAGUACAAAUCCUUCAACAUCCUAUAAUCCAACCAAGCUUUCAAACAGAACAAAUCCCUAUAAUAUUAGAUCCUACUGGGACACAUUACUAUAUAUAUUCAUAACUAAAUUCUAAUUAGCUAAAAGGAACAUAGAUGACAGAGUAAAAAAUAACAAGAAUAAAAUCAACGAAUAUAAACCACUCCACGUAUUCAUUAUGCCAUUUUAGAAGUAAGAGGCAAACGAUCCACAACUUCAUAUUCAUAACCGAUAGCCAAGAGAUGUUCAGCCUACAUACCUGGAUACAAGCAAACAAAGCAAAGGAAUAAAUAUUGAACUUGACAAGGGCCAAACAAGCAACAGAAAGUCAGCAACAAAAAAUGUCGCAGCAAUAGUCAACACCAGCCUCAGAUUAAAUCAUUUUUCUUGACUCCAAAAUCACCAGAAAUCGAAAGAAGAGUUCCCCUUAAACUUUUGUGAAAGAAGGAAAGAGUGAAAGGUUAAAAACAAGCAUCAAUAUUUUCAGAAAGAAGUUUCAGCCGUUUGCUAUUGUUAGGUAUUGUAAUCUCUGC
RNAcentral lists this long non-coding RNA (5094 nucleotides) under Nicotiana tabacum (common tobacco). RNAcentral's name for it is "long non-coding RNA (NTAB_LNC012556)". The record is from RNAcentral. Lineage: Eukaryota; Viridiplantae; Streptophyta; Magnoliopsida; Solanales; Solanaceae.